GCUGCCGCCACCCCCCGCCCCGCCGGUUCCUAGUGGCCCCCCAGCGGCGAGCCCCGUUGGCUGCGUGCCGGGUGUGGCGGGGUGUGCUCGGGCCGGGCCGGGGCAGCGGGGCUCCCUUAGCUGUAGGCACGCACAGGGCGAGGCCCCACCGGCGCGCUGCCGGCCAGACCUAGCUCCCCAUUAAAACGCGGCAAACCCCGGCCUUCUGAGAGGGCUUGUAAAGGUACUCAGCGCGGAUGCUAACGCUUCUCGCUUGCCGGUCCUGCAAACACCUCCCACCUGCCCAGCUUCAGGCUUCACUUCACUGGGACUGGCCAGGGUGCACGCAGGAGCGGGAGCUGUUUUCUAGCUGGAGCGGCAAACAGAGAAAAUAGUAGGUGUGUGCUGUAUAGAGGUAAAUUGGGCUGAACCAGUCUGCCUUUCUCCAGGAUGGGGAAGACUGGGGCACAAGGAAGAGAAGUGACUUCCCUUGGUGUUACAGCGUAUCUGAGAACAGAACACACACUCCUAACUCUCAGUCCAAUGCCGUAUUUACUAGAGCAUAUAAAGCCUCACCAGAAAGCAGAUCCAAUGCAAUUACAAUACGGAUAAUCUCAUUAACUCUUUAGCCAAUCCCAUUCUCAAACUUUCAGGCUGUUAUAAAGCUACAGGAAAUAUAUUUUAGAAGAGAUACAUCCAUCUUCAUUACACUGCUCUCUUUCCUAUUAAUUUAUUUGUUGGCCAAACCCUGCUUGUCUUACUUGUGAGCAAGUAAAUGGGAAUACAGCGGAAAGACUUCACCCUGAAUGUUAUAGUUGCAGGAAGGGAGAAACCACAACCCAUUAUUGGGAGCUCCGGAAAUGAAUUGGUGUGUAGUGUUAUUGCAAUGAUUAUUAAUUGAAUUCCACUGAAAACAGCUAGGGAUUACAACAUCCUGAAUGUGAACUCAGAGGACAAAGAUGUGCACAGUUGAGCUUUUAGUCAGAUGGAAACAGUUGAAGAUGAGAUGCAAGCUCUCUGAGCCUCAAUUAUAAACAGGGUCCCUGAAAAUCACCAGUGUUUCAUGGAUCAUUUCUGCAGGAGCAUUUUUAUAGAUCUGUUGUCAGUUAUGCAUCACUCGUAUGUGUUGGCAGAAUCCACUGACUAUAAAUUUUUAGAAAACUCAACAUCUUAUGUGCAUGUAAAGAAAGUUAGAGUUCCAGCCAACUAGCACAUAUGCAACAUUUAAUGAUUGUAAUGUCAGCAGGUGAUUUGAAAUUUCAUUAAACCCGCUCCCCUUUUAAUAUUCCUGGUGGUUUGAAAUAUGUUUUGGAAUCUCAAAGUACUGCAUGUUUGGUUCUGCAGCUGAGGAAGCUGAGGUUGCAACAGUGAAGUUACUGUAUGACCUUUGGCAUGCUGGGAAAUAUAAGCCAAGACUCCUGACUCCCAGAUCUCUACUUUAGAAACAAAGCAAUAAUGGUAAUCCCUAAUACUGAAUGGGAUUCUGUGAUUCUCAGUUGGAGGCUGGGAGAGGAAGAGAGGCAUGUUUUAAAACAGACCUCCCCAUUUGUUCAUUCUCCUGCACUCUGCUUUCUGUCUUCCUCACCCUCUUCCCUUCCAU
This is a long non-coding RNA of Mauremys mutica (yellowpond turtle), 1579 nucleotides long. RefSeq lists it as uncharacterized. The transcript is spliced from 3 exons. NCBI's taxonomy places the organism in Eukaryota, Metazoa, Chordata, Testudines, Geoemydidae. The record is from RefSeq and is a predicted model, not a curated record.